CAUGCAAGUCGAGCGAGAAGCUACCUAUGACCCUUCGGGUGAUUAGACUAGUGGACAGCGGCGGACGGGUGAGUAACGCGUAAAUAACCUGCCAUACACACAAGGAUAGCCAUCGGAAACGGUGAUUAAUACUUGAUGAGGCUACAGAUUCGCAUGAAUCAGUAGUUAAAGAAUUUUGGUGUAUGAUGGAUUUGCGUUUGAUUAGCUAGUUGGUAAGGUAAAAGCUUACCAAGGCGAUGAUCAAUAGCCGGCCUGAGAGGGUGAACGGCCACACUGGAACUGAGACACGGUCCAGACUCCUACGGGAGGCAGCAGUGGGGAAUAUUGCACAAUGGAGGAAACUCUGAUGCAGCAACGCCGCGUGAACGAAGAAGGCUUUCGAGUCGUAAAGUUCUGUUAUAGGGGAAGAAGCAGUGACGGUACCCUAUGAGAAAGCCACGGCUAAUUACGUGCCAGCAGCCGCGGUAAUACGUAAGUGGCAAGCGUUAUCCGGAAUUACUGGGCAUAAAGCGUUCGUAGGCGGUUAAACAAGCCAAUAGUGAAAUCCACCAGCCUAACUGGUGUCAGCUAAUGGAACUGUAUAACUUGAGUACAGGAGAGGAAAGUGGAAUUCCUAGUGUAGUAGUGAAAUGCGUAGAUAUUAGGAAGAACAUCAGUAGCGAAGGCGACUUUCUGGACUGUAACUGACGCUGAGGAACGAAAGCGUGGGGAGCGAACCAGGAUUAGAUACCCUGGUAGUCCACGCCGUAAACGAUGGAUACUUGGUGUUGGCCGUAAAGGUCGGUGCCGGAGCAAAUGUAUUAAGUAUCCCGCCUGGGGAGUACGGUCGCAAGGCUGAAACUCAAAAGAAUUGACGGGGACCCGCACAAGCAGCGGAGCAUGUGGUUUAAUUCGAAGCAACGCGAAGA
Molecule: ribosomal RNA, 908 nt
Filed under: uncultured organism
Description: bacterial SSU rRNA
Rfam family: Bacterial small subunit ribosomal RNA
Source: RNAcentral